GGCCAGUGUGGUAUAAUGGUUUGAGUGUUGAGCUAAGGCACUGGGAGGCCAAGGUUCGAAUCCUGGCUUGGCCA
Molecule: non-coding RNA, 74 nt
Organism: Phrynosoma platyrhinos (Desert horned lizard)
Lineage: Eukaryota; Metazoa; Chordata; Lepidosauria; Squamata; Phrynosomatidae
Source: the annotation of a GenBank genome assembly